GAGUUUGAUCUUGGCUCAGGAUGAACGCUGGCGGCGUGCCUAAAACAUGCAAGUCGAACGGUGGUAGCAAUACUACAGUGGCGAACGGCGGAGUAAUACGUGAACAACGUGCCCCAAAGACUGGGAUAGUCACUGGAAACGGUGGGUAAUACCGGAUGUGGCGUCUGAAUCUCCUGAUUUUGACGUUAAAUGGUUUUUCGCUUUGGGAGCGGUUCACGGCCUAUCAGGUAGUUGGUGGGGUAAUGGCCUACCAAGCCGACGACGGGUAGCGGGUCUGAGAGGAUGAUCCGCUCGAGUGGGACUGAGACACGGCCCACACACCUACGGGUGGCAGCAGUUGGGAAUCUUGCACAAUGGGGGAAACCCUGGAUGCAGCGACGCCGCGUGGAGGACGAAGGGUCUAGGCCUGUAAACUCCUUUUAUGGGGAAAGACUUAGGACGGUACCCCAUGAAUAAGGACCGGCUAACUACGUGCCAGCCGCCGCCGUAAG
RNAcentral lists this ribosomal RNA (491 nucleotides) under uncultured Armatimonadota bacterium. RNAcentral's name for it is "bacterial SSU rRNA". It matches the Rfam family "Bacterial small subunit ribosomal RNA", at positions 9 to 524 of the family's 1533-position model. Lineage: Bacteria; Bacillati; Armatimonadota. The record is from RNAcentral.